This 1334-nucleotide long non-coding RNA is filed under the name Scleropages formosus (Asian bonytongue). RNAcentral describes it as "lncRNA (ENSSFOG00015029041.1)". Lineage: Eukaryota; Metazoa; Chordata; Actinopteri; Osteoglossiformes; Osteoglossidae. The record is from RNAcentral.
ACUGCCACACCCCCUGUCCCUUCCACGCGCCCGCCCGCCCGCUCUGUACCCCGCCUCUAAUUAAACGCCUCGCCUCAGCGCGAGGAGAGAAACGACGCUCCCGCGGGUUCGGAGUCGCUCGUGCCGGCGUCGGCGCGUGCCCCUCCCCAGAGCCGACCAAUCACGCGCCGGCGCAGAAGUGGGGCAGGGCGCGCGGGGUCGCGAGGUGCGCUCCCGCCGCGGGGACGUCCCCCUUGUUUUUCGCGCCGAAACGCCGCGUUGCGUGAAGGUCGUCGCCGGCCGCGUCCUUCCUCCAUCUGCCCCGCGCGCUGGAAAGGGAGUGGCGCGCGCAGGAUUCUCCGCGAUUUAAUUUGCCGCUUCGCGCCUCGGCGAGUCAUCCCGCGAGGCGGCCGGGCGCGCGCGCGUCCCGCCGUCCUUCGAGCGCGGACACAAGUAGGCCGCGCGCCUGCAUCGAGUCCUGGGAGCGCGUGUCGUGCGCGUCACCGGAAGUUGUGGAGCUGUAAGUAAUAAAGAGCGGAGUUAUUUCAUUGUCGCUGCGGCUCUUUCAGUCGUUCCUGCGGUUUUAUUGAGCCUCUCCGGUUAAAUUACGACCUGGUGUCCGCGGCAGUGUCCAUCCUCCUAAACACAAACAGCCCCAGUGGCCUCUUCCCAGGUGUCUUCUGCCACCUCAUGACUCAUGGUGUCCUCAACCUACAUAUCAGUGAUCAUCUCAUCACCCGUCCCUACUAGACUAAUGACGUCUUUUGUUCCAGGUUUGUCAAAUGAAGAGGCGUCUGUCCUGCCAGGGUCCCGUCCCAGUUUCCAGAUUCAACCACUCCACCACAUGCUGCCUCAUCUUACUUCGGCUCAAGCAUCAUUGUUAUCUUCAGCUUCGUGCACAUGCUGCGUCCAUGAAGCUGCGUCGGGCUGCUCUUCUCGAGCAGUUUGAUUGCUGCGUCGCCCACGCGCCACGGACCUGCGCCGCGGAGCUCCUACGCGUCGCCGGACCACUUUGGAGGCCCUCCUCAUCGACGGCGGGAGACGAGGAAGGAGCGACAGUUCGGCUACCAAAGACCAGAAGCUCUUUUCACUGCGAGGGUAUGCAACGGCUAUUUGAUGUAUUUAGGAACAAAAAAAAAUGCCAAUUUGCGCGCAAGACUUUGACUGUUUUUCCACACACUCUUUUCCCCGUCCCUCAAUCUAUUGAAAAGAUUAAGACCAGGAGCCGUCAGAACGUCGUUUCGAUGCAAUCAAUAACACGAGGGAGGAUAAAGAGACGCUGAUACCCUGCUUCGCUCGUGGUAAUUCUUGGUAAGCCUCCACGCCGUUUGCCGCCCGUAAUCUCAUUACAAAUU